RNAcentral lists this ribosomal RNA (342 nucleotides) under Triticum aestivum (bread wheat). RNAcentral's name for it is "partial small subunit ribosomal RNA". Lineage: Eukaryota; Viridiplantae; Streptophyta; Magnoliopsida; Poales; Poaceae. The record is from RNAcentral.
AUGUGUGUGCGUGUGAGUUUCCAUGGUGUGUGUUUUUGUCUUCUUGAGAGAAGAAGAGAGAAACCUCAGGAGAGUUGUGCGAGGCAGCUCGAGGAAGAAGAAGGUCGGCGCUACGAGAGGAGCGGCGCCAACAAUUGGUAUUCAGAGCCUUGUCGGUCCAAAGCGGUGGCGGCGCGGCGAACUCCAUGCGAGAUGGAGGCCGGCGGCGCAAGGAGGAGGUCGGUGGCGGCUCUUACGGUGCAAGGCCGUUAUGAGGAGGAGAUGGCACGCGGUGGUCGGCGUCAUGAAGGCGUCGUCCGCGUCAAGAGAAGGCCGCUUUCAUACGGCAUGACACCGUGGUGA